AAGGGCUCGCAGGCGGUUUCUUAAGUCUGAUGUGAAAGCCCCCGGCUCAACCGGGGAGGGUCAUUGGAAACUGGGAAACUUGAGUGCAGAAGAGGAGAGUGGAAUUCCACGUGUAGCGGUGAAAUGCGUAGAGAUGUGGAGGAACACCAGUGGCGAAGGCGACUCUCUGGUCUGUAACUGACGCUGAGGAGCGAAAGCGUGGGGAGCGAACAGGAUUAGAUACCC
Molecule: ribosomal RNA, 225 nt
Filed under: Bacillus sp. (in: firmicutes)
Lineage: Bacteria; Bacillati; Bacillota; Bacilli; Caryophanales; Bacillaceae
Description: Bacillus sp. (in: Bacteria) partial 16S ribosomal RNA
Rfam family: Bacterial small subunit ribosomal RNA
Source: RNAcentral